GAUGAACGCUGGCGGCGUGCCUAAUACAUGCAAGUCGAGCGAACAGACGAGGAGCUUGCUCCUCUGACGUUAGCGGCGGACGGGUGAGUAACACGUGGAUAACCUACCUAUAAGACUGGGAUAACUUCGGGAAAACGGAGCUAAUACCGGAUAAUAUAUUGAACCGCAUGGUUCAAUAGUGAAAGACGGUUUUGCUGUCACUUAUAGAUGGAUCUGCGCCGCAUUAGCUAGUUGGUAAGGUAACGGCUUACCAAGGCAACGAUGCGUAGCCGACCUGAGAGGGUGAACGGCCACACUGGAACUGAGACACGGUCCAGACUCCUACGGGGGGCAGCAGUAGGGAAUCUUCCGCAAUGGGCGAAAGCCUGACGGAGCAACGCCGCGUGAGUGAUGAAGGUCUUCGGAUCGUAAAACUCUGUUAUUAGGGAAGAACAAAUGUGUAAGUAACUAUGCACGUCUUGACGGUACCUAAUCAGAAAGCCACGGCUAACUACGUG
This 497-nucleotide ribosomal RNA is filed under the name uncultured bacterium. RNAcentral's name for it is "partial 16S ribosomal RNA". It matches the Rfam family "Bacterial small subunit ribosomal RNA", at positions 28 to 507 of the family's 1533-position model. The record is from RNAcentral.